This 403-nucleotide ribosomal RNA is filed under the name uncultured bacterium. RNAcentral's name for it is "bacterial SSU rRNA". It matches the Rfam family "Bacterial small subunit ribosomal RNA", at positions 355 to 775 of the family's 1533-position model. The record is from RNAcentral.
UGGGGAAUAUUGCACAAUGGGGGAAACCCUGAUGCAGCAACGCCGCGUGAGUGAAGAAGUAUUUCGGUAUGUAAAGCUCUAUCAGCAGGGAAGAAAGUGACGGUACCUGACUAAGAAGCCCCGGCUAACUACGUGCCAGCAGCCGCGGUAAUACGUAGGGGGCAAGCGUUAUCCGGAUUUACUGGGUGUAAAGGGAGCGUAGACGGCACAGCAAGUCUGAAGUGAAAUCCCCGGGCUCAACCCGGGAACUGCUUUGGAAACUGUUGGGCUAGAGUGCUGGAGAGGCAAGCGGAAUUCCUAGUGUAGCGGUGAAAUGCGUAGAUAUUAGGAGGAACACCAGUGGCGAAGGCGGCUUGCUGGACAGUAACUGACGUUGAGGCUCGAAAGCGUGGGGAGCAAACAG